AGAGUUUGAUCAUGGCUCAGAACGAACGCUGGCGGCGCGCCUAACACAUGCAAGUCGGACGCACUCAGCAAUGGGUGAGUGGCGGACGGGUGAGUAACACGUGGGAACCUGCCCUGGGGUCUGGGAUAGCUGCGGGAAACUGCAGGUAACACCGGAUGUGCCCUUAGGGGGAAAGUUUACGCCCUGGGAUGGGCCCGCGUCGGAUUAGGUAGUUGGUGGGGUAAUGGCCUACCAAGCCUUCGAUCCGUAACCGGUCUGAGAGGAUGAUCGGUCACACUGGGACUGAGACACGGCCCAGACUCCUACGGGAGGCAGCAGUGGGGAAUCUUGGACAAUGGGGGCAACCCUGAUCCAGCGACGCCGCGUGGGUGAUGAAGGCCUUCGGGUCGUAAAGCCCUUUUGCCGGGGAAGAUGAUGACGGUACCCGGAGAAGAAGCACCGGCUAACUCUGUGCCAGCAGCCGCGGUAAGACAGAGGGUGCUAGCGUUGUUCGGAAUUACUGGGCGUAAAGGGCGCGUAGGCGGCUCGUUUAGUCGGGUGUGAAAUCCCAAGGCUCAACCUUGGAACUGCAUUCGAUACUGGCGGGCUAGAGACCGGAAGAGGUGGGUGGAAUACCCAGUGUAGAGGUGAAAUUCGUAGAUAUUGGGUGGAACACCGGUGGCGAAGGCGGCUCACUGGUCCGGUUCUGACGCUGAGGCGCGAAAGCGUGGGGAGCAAACAGGAUUAGAUACCCUAGUAGUCC
RNAcentral lists this ribosomal RNA (742 nucleotides) under uncultured bacterium. RNAcentral's name for it is "bacterial SSU rRNA". It matches the Rfam family "Bacterial small subunit ribosomal RNA", at positions 8 to 796 of the family's 1533-position model. The record is from RNAcentral.